RNAcentral lists this ribosomal RNA (447 nucleotides) under uncultured bacterium. Its description in RNAcentral is "partial 16S ribosomal RNA". It matches the Rfam family "Bacterial small subunit ribosomal RNA", at positions 29 to 523 of the family's 1533-position model. The record is from RNAcentral.
AACGAACGCUGGCGGCAGGCUUAACACAUGCAAGUCGAGCGCCCCGCAAGGGGAGCGGCAGACGGGUGAGUAACACGUGGGAACGUACCCUUUACUACGGAACAACUCCGGGAAACUGGAGCUAAUACCGUAUGUGCCCUUCGGGGGAAAGAUUUAUCGGUAAAGGAUCGGCCCGCGUUGGAUUAGCUAGUUGGUGGGGUAAAGGCCUACCAAGGCGACGAUCCAUAGCUGGUCUGAGAGGAUGAUCAGCUACAUUGGGACUGAGACACGGCCCAAACUCCUACGGGAGGCAGCAGUGGGGAUUAUUGGACAAUGGGCGCAAGCCUGAUCCAGCCAUGCCGCGUGAGUGAUGAAGGCCUUAGGGUUGUAAAGCUCUUUCACCGAUGAAGAUAAUGACGGUAGUCGGAGAAGAAGCCCCGGCUAACUUCGUGCCAGCCGCCGCGGUAA